GACGAACGCUGGCGGCGUGCUUAACACAUGCCAGUCGAACGGAAAGGCCCUGCUUGCCGGGUGCUCGAGUGGCGAACGGGUGAGUAACACGUGGGUGAUCUGCCCCUUACUUUGGGAUAAGCCUGGGAAACUGGGUCUAAUACUGGAUAGGACCAUGCUGUAGGUGGUGUGGUGGAAAGAUUAGUUUCGUUAAGGGAUGAGCUCGCGGCCUAUCAGCUUGUUGGUGGGGUAAUGGCCUACCAAGGCGUCGACGGGUAGCCGGCCUGAGAGGGUGGGAGGCCACAUUGGGACGGAGAUACGGAGCAGACGCCUACGGGAGGCAGCAGUGGGGAAGAGUGCAAAAUGGGCGCAAGCCUGAUGGAGCGACGCCGCGUGGGGGAUGAAGGCCUUCGGGUUGUAAACUCCUUGCAGCCAUGACGAAGCCCUUGUGGUGACGGUAGUGGUAGAAGAAGCACCGGCUAACUACGUG
Molecule: ribosomal RNA, 469 nt
Filed under: uncultured bacterium
Lineage: Bacteria
Description: partial 16S ribosomal RNA
Rfam family: Bacterial small subunit ribosomal RNA
Source: RNAcentral